GAUGAACGCUAGCGGCAGGCUUAACACAUGCAAGUCGAGGGGUAAUUCUGGUGCUUGCACUGGAAACGACCGGCGGACGGGUGAGUAACGCGUAUGCAACCUGCCCUUAACUAAGGGAUAGCUCCCGGAAACGGGAAUUAAUAUCUUAUAAUAUCCGGGUAUCGCAUGGUUUUCGGAUUAAAGCUUCGGCGGUUAAGGAUGGGCAUGCGUGACAUUAGCUUGUUGGUGAGGUAACGGCUCACCAAAGCGACGAUGUCUAGGGGGCCUGAGAGGGUGGUCCCCCACACUGGUACUGAGACACGGACCAGACUCCUACGGGAGGCAGCAGUGAGGAAUAUUGGGCAAUGGGCGGAAGCCUGACCCAGCCAUGCCGCGUGCAGGAUGACAGCCCUACGGGUUGUAAACUGGUUUUGUACGGGAAGAAACCUUCGGACGUGUCCGGAGCUGACGGUACUGUACGAAUAAGCAUCGGCUAACUCCGUGCCAGCAGCCGCGGUAAUACGGAGGAUGCAAGCGUUAUCCGGAUUUAUUGGGUUUAAAGGGUGCGUAGGCGGAGAAUUAAGUCAGUGGUGAAAUCUUACCGCUUAACGGUAAAAUUGCCAUUGAUACUGAUUCCCUUGAGUACAGUUGAGGUGGGUGGAAUGUGUAAUGUAGCGGUGAAAUGCUUAGAUAUUACAUAGAACACCGAUUGCGAAGGCAGCUCACUAAACUGUUACUGACGCUGAGGCACGAAAGGGUGGGGAGCGAACAGGAUUAGAUACCCUGGUAGUCCACGCUGUAAACGAUGAUCACUCGUUGUUGGCGAUAUAUUGUCAGCGACUAAGCAAAAGCAUUAAGUGAUCCACCUGGGGAGUACGGCCGCAAGGUUGAAACUCAAAGGAAUUGACGG
RNAcentral lists this ribosomal RNA (889 nucleotides) under uncultured bacterium. RNAcentral describes it as "bacterial SSU rRNA". It matches the Rfam family "Bacterial small subunit ribosomal RNA", at positions 28 to 916 of the family's 1533-position model. The record is from RNAcentral.